This 117-nucleotide ribosomal RNA is filed under the name Escherichia coli. RNAcentral describes it as "partial 23S ribosomal RNA". It matches the Rfam family "Bacterial large subunit ribosomal RNA", at positions 1 to 116 of the family's 2925-position model. The record is from RNAcentral. Lineage: Bacteria; Pseudomonadati; Pseudomonadota; Gammaproteobacteria; Enterobacterales; Enterobacteriaceae.
GGUUAAGCGACUAAGCGUACACGGUGGAUGCCUUGGCAGUCAGAGGCGAUGAAGGACGUGCUAAUCUGCGAUAAGCGUCGGUAAGGUGAUAUGAACCGUUAUAACCGGCGAUUUCCG